This is a long non-coding RNA of Leucoraja erinaceus (little skate), 1040 nucleotides long. RefSeq lists it as uncharacterized. NCBI's taxonomy places the organism in Eukaryota, Metazoa, Chordata, Chondrichthyes, Rajiformes, Rajidae. The record is from RefSeq and is a predicted model, not a curated record. The transcript is spliced from 3 exons.
AUCUACAGAAAAUCAGCUGCCAUAAUUGGAGGAGGAUGAUCGAUGAGAUUUGUGGAAGUGAUCCCCUGGAAAGGUGGCUGUGUGGCCAUUCUCCAAGUUCAGGACCCUAGGAAGUCAAUGUUGGCAGGGAUAUUACAACCAAAUCUAAUCUUGCCCCCACUUAAUGUCUUUCUUUUCAGGAAAGAGCCAAUGGAUGAGGAUCAAGAUUGCAGACUCCACCUGACCUCUUUCUCCCGUGGAAUGUCAGGCCAACUGCAAUGCAUUAUGCAACGCUAGCCAGUUCAGUACAAAUGAGGAAAUGAACACAGAAUCAUAAAGACCUCUGUAGCUCAACACUGCUUCAACCAGUUCCCUUGUGAGUGAACACUUGAAAAUCGAUAUUCCAAUGCUACUGUCUUCGACCUGUAUUAGAAAUAAUCUUAGAAUACAUUGUGCAGUAUUGAGUCAAUUUAGGUGUGACGAGAAUUGUUUUUUGUUGUAUACAAAGGACAUUAAUCAAGAAUAGAAUUGGUGUGAUAUUGGAACGGUGGGAGUUACAGCUGAUGGACUUGUACAUCAUAGUGGGAUUGCCAAGCAUGUGGGAUCCGGUCUAGGAUAUUGCCUAGUUGCAUCAUGGCCUGGUUCAGCAAUUCAAAUGCCCAGGAACUAAGAAGAUUACAGAAAAGUGGUGAACUCUGCCAAGUCUUUUACAGGGUUUACAGAAUACAAUGUCUACAUAUCUGUUGUGCUGCUGCAAGUAAGAAUUUUAUCGUUCUGAGCUUAUGACAAUAAAACACUCUUGACUUGUCUCUUCUACCAUAGUAAUUUGUGCUGACCACUCCCUGUUCCCAAGGAAAUGGCUGUUUGUUCAAUUGUUUCAAAAGCCACCAGAAAUCAUCCAUCCCUUUAAUUAGCAUGAGUGAAGGCAGUGGGUGGGGUGGGAAUUUCAUUCUCUCGUUUCGGGACAAAUGACAAUAAAAUUCUCUUGACGCCCGACUGAGUGAGAACAGGAUUGUAGACUCUUUUUCAGUAUCCAACAUUAAAAAAAACUUGUGUGUAUG